This is a long non-coding RNA of Ictalurus punctatus (channel catfish), 1861 nucleotides long. NCBI's taxonomy places the organism in Eukaryota, Metazoa, Chordata, Actinopteri, Siluriformes, Ictaluridae. The record is from Ensembl.
GGCCUGUACAAGAUUCUACUCUAUUAUGCAUAUUUUAACGGACUUUGAUCCCAGGUGCUUAAAGCCGCGGUUGGCGAUAGGAUUUAGGUUUGGGUUUCGCAUCGGGUUAGAACAGGUUCUCAAAAGGUUCUAUUUUGCAACGCUUUGUAAAUAAAAGUUCAUUUAUGAACAACUGUUUGUUUGAAUAUUUAAACCAGGGGUCUUCGGUCGUAACUGCAAAGGGCCGGUGGGGCUGCAGGAUUUCAUUAGAGCCAAACUGGAGGCAGGAUUGAUGGGUGAUUGACGGUGAACUGAUUGAAAAAGUGAAAUCAGGUGUGGCUCAUGCUGCAAUUUGGGGUUAUGGUUCAUGUUAAAGGUUUGGGGUUAAAGCUAGGGUUAAAGAUAAGGUUAGUUCUAACGUUAAAUCUUUGGGGUUAGAGCUAGUAUUAAAUGAUUAGGGUUAGGGCUAGGGUUAAAGUUUUGGGGUUAGAGCUAGGGUUAAACGGUUGUGGUUAUGGCUAGGGUUGAAGGUUUGGGGAUAGGGUUGGGGUUAGGGCUAAGGUUAAAGGUUUGGGCUAGGGUUAGAUGUUUGAGGUUAUGGCUAGGGUUAAAGAUUUGGGGUUUGGGCUAGGGUUUGAUGUUUGAGGUUAUGGCUAGGGUUAAAGAUUUGGGUUUAGGGUUAGGGCUAGGGUUGAAGGUUUGGGGAUAGUGUUAGAUGUAUGCGGUUAUGGCUAGGGUUAAAGAUUUGGGUUUAGGGCUAGGGCUAGGGUUGAAGGUUUGGGGUUAGAGCUGGGGUUAAAGGAUUGGGUUAGUCGUAGGGUUACAGGGUUGAGGGUAGGGCUAGGAGUAAAGGUUUAGAAUGAGGGCUAGAGUUGAAGGGUUGACUUAAAGCUUUCGACUUAGGGCUAGGGGUAAGAGUUUGUCGUUGGGGCUAGGGUUAAAUAUCUGGGGUUAGGGUUAAAGGGUUGAGGGUCGGGCAAAGGUUGAAGUUUUAGGUCUAGGGCUGAAAACUUGCACCAGCAGUAAAGCUUACAGAAACAGACUUGAGCAUGCUCAGUUUUCUCCUUAUUCUCCGAAUACAAUCUAUCUUUGUUUAUCUGAAGCAGGACGCCAUCCUUACAAAUGAAAACGAGUGUUUGCUUUGUGCGUGACGCUUAUUGCUUUUUAAUAUGGAGAACGUGCAUUAAAAAUACAUGCCAUUUUUCCUACACGCCGAAUAACAGCAGCGCAGGUCUCGUACCCCGGCACAACGAAGCCAAUAACGCAAACAAACUGAGCAUCGAGACGGAUUUAAUUACCGCGAAUGUGAAGAUGAAAGCAUGGCGCUGAAUAAAUAAACGCAACGUUUCCGAUAGGAAGAAAGAAUGCAGUAUAUACAGCAGACGGGCGGAAAGAUUAAUGACGGUUCUAAUACGCCGCGUAUCCCCCAAAACAAUAUAACCAGAGAAAAAACACACACGAUAAGAGUGUAUAUGAGAAAUAUCACCUUAAACAGUUUUUGCUCGUGCGUUAAGACUUUUGGACGCUACAGGAAGUGAAACGAUGAUUUCAGGUCUCUUUACUUUGUUACUACGUUUGUUAAUGUAUUAUUCGGAACUGAAAUUGUGUCUCUUUUUUUGUUUGUUUGUUUUUUUUUGUUCGUACACUCGUUCUGUCUGGAUUUUGUUUCAAUCAGGUUUCAGAGGUUCCCAUGUGCUUUUUAGGGAGGCGUGUAUUUAGACGUGUUUUAAACUAAAAACAGUGGAAGAUCAUCAGACGGGAGAGGUUUUCCUCCUUGUCUGCGUGUAUAUAUGUGUAUUAACUGCUUGAAGCUGAACAAAUUAGGCAACAUUGGAUUUUUUUCUUUUGCAUGUGUCUUUUUCUAAUGGACGAGACGAUUACG